GAGUUUGAUCAUGGCUCAGAUUGAACGCUGGCGGCAGGCUUAACACAUGCAAGUCGAACGAUGAUUAUCUAGCUUGCUAGAUAUGAUUAGUGGCGGACGGGUGAGUAACAUUUAGGAAUCUGCCUAGUAGUGGGGGAUAGCUCGGGGAAACUCGAAUUAAUACCGCAUACGACCUACGGGUGAAAGGGGGCGCAAGCUCUUGCUAUUAGAUGAGCCUAAAUCAGAUUAGCUAGUUGGUGGGGUAAAGGCCCACCAAGGCGACGAUCUGUAACUGGUCUGAGAGGAUGAUCAGUCACACCGGAACUGAGACACGGUCCGGACUCCUACGGGAGGCAGCAGUGGGGAAUAUUGGACAAUGGGGGCAACCCUGAUCCAGCCAUGCCGCGUGUGUGAAGAAGGCCUUUUGGUUGUAAAGCACUUUAAGCAGGGAGGAGAGACUAAUGGUUAAUACCCAUUAGAUUAGACGUUACCUGCAGAAUAAGCACCGGCUAACUCUGUGCCAGCAGCCGCGGUAAUACAGAGGGUGCGAGCGUUAAUCGGAAUUACUGGGCGUAAAGCGAGUGUAGGUGGCUCAUUAAGUCACAUGUGAAAUCCCCGGGCUUAACCUGGGAACUGCAUGUGAUACUGGUGGUGCUAGAAUAUGUGAGAGGGAAGUAGAAUUCCAGGUGUAGCGGUGAAAUGCGUAGAGAUCUGGAGGAAUACCGAUGGCGAAGGCAGCUUCCUGGCAUAAUAUUGACACUGAGAUUCGAAAGCGUGGGUAGCAAACAGGAUUAGAUACCCUGGUAGUCCACGCCGUAAACGAUGUCUACUAGCCGUUGGGGUCCUUGAGACUUUAGUGGCGCAGUUAACGCGAUAAGUAGACCGCCUGGGGAGUACGGCCGCAAGGUUAAAACUCAAAUGAAUUUGACGGGGGCC
This 915-nucleotide ribosomal RNA is filed under the name uncultured sponge bacterium. RNAcentral describes it as "bacterial SSU rRNA". It matches the Rfam family "Bacterial small subunit ribosomal RNA", at positions 9 to 921 of the family's 1533-position model. The record is from RNAcentral.